GGUCAAGCGAAUAAGCGCACACGGUGGAUGCCUUGGCGGUCAGAGGCGAUGAAGGACGUGGCAGCCUGCGAAAAGCGCGGGGGAGUUGGCAACA
Molecule: ribosomal RNA, 94 nt
Filed under: Cyanobacteria bacterium HKST-UBA03
Lineage: Bacteria; Bacillati; Cyanobacteriota
Description: partial 23S ribosomal RNA
Rfam family: Bacterial large subunit ribosomal RNA
Source: RNAcentral